This 775-nucleotide ribosomal RNA is filed under the name uncultured Neocallimastigales. RNAcentral describes it as "partial large subunit ribosomal RNA". It matches the Rfam family "Eukaryotic large subunit ribosomal RNA", at positions 26 to 634 of the family's 3401-position model. Lineage: Eukaryota; Fungi; Neocallimastigomycota; Neocallimastigomycetes; Neocallimastigales. The record is from RNAcentral.
CGCAUCUGUGCAUGCAGCAUAUCAAUAAGCGGAGGAAAAGAAACUAACAAGGAUUCCCCUAGUAACGGCGAGUGAAGCGGGAAGAGCUCAAAUUUGAAAUCUUAAAGGGUUUCCCUUUACGAAUUGUAGUUUAAAGAAGUGUUUUCUGUUGAGGUUUUGGUAAAAGUUCUUUGGAAUAGGACAUCAUAGAGGGUGAGAAUCCCGUAUUUGACCCUUUACUUUCAACUUUGUGAUACACUUUCAAAGAGUCGGAUUGUUUGGGAAUGCAGUCCAAAAUGGGUGGUAAAUUUCAUCUAAAGCUAAAUAUUGGCGAGAGACCGAUAGCGAACAAGUACCGUGAGGGAAAGAUGAAAAGAACUUUGAAAAGAGAGUUAAACAGUACGUGAAAUUGUCAAAAGGGAAGCGUUUGACACCAGUGUUGUUUUUCUGAAAAUCAAUUAAAGAACUGUUUAUGCUAAGCUGUUUAGACUUUAUCAGCUAUCUGUUUAGUUUUGAGCUUUUCUUUAAUGCACUUUUCAGUUAACAAGUCAACAUCAAUUUCUUUUGCUGUAAAAAAGCUUGAGGAAGGUGGCUUGAGAUUCGUCUUAAGUGUUUAUAGCCUCUUGCCUAUGCAGUCGGAGAGAUUGAGGUCUGCAGCGUAGAUCCUUCGGGGCUAAAUGCAUUUGUGCUAAGUUAUAGCAUUUUAUAGACAACUUGUUGACUAUGAUUUGUCUUGUAGCUUACUCGCUUAUGUUAUUUUACCUACGCUUAGGAUGUUGACAGCAGUAUAGACUGU